RNAcentral lists this long non-coding RNA (248 nucleotides) under Elaeis guineensis (African oil palm). RNAcentral describes it as "long non-coding RNA (EGUI_LNC019928)". The record is from RNAcentral. Lineage: Eukaryota; Viridiplantae; Streptophyta; Magnoliopsida; Arecales; Arecaceae.
AUCGCCCCUAGAGUUGCUCGAGGGCAGCCAUCUUCUCAGCAUUGGAGGCCGCCACUCUGUCCAUCUAUGACUGAAGAAAGUCAGCAAUCUUCUGAUAAUCGAUCUUCAGGUCAUGCAUGUUAUGUGCCCACUAAAAAUAAAAGACGAAUCAAGUCAGAUCAGAUCAGAUAAUAUAUAUAUAUAUAUGUUGAAGAACUUAUCCUGAGUAUCAUCAGGUAGAAAGAAACGAACAUUUCGGCUACAGGUUG